GAAGCUGGAAUUGCUAGUAAUGGCAGGUCAGCAUACUGCCGUGAAUACGUUCCCGGGCCUUGUACACACCGCCCGUCACACCAUGAGAGUUGGGAAUACCCGAAGCCUGUGAGCUAACUUUUUAAGAGGCAGCAGUCGAAGGUAGAAUCAAUGAUUGGGGUGAAGUCGUAACAAGGUAAC
This 180-nucleotide ribosomal RNA is filed under the name uncultured bacterium. RNAcentral's name for it is "partial 16S ribosomal RNA". It matches the Rfam family "Bacterial small subunit ribosomal RNA", at positions 1322 to 1500 of the family's 1533-position model. The record is from RNAcentral.